CAAAAUAUGAGAAUAAAAGGCUGUGGUUAGUGUUUGUAGCUUUUCUUACAAUAUCAUGGACACGAAAUCUAACCUAAUCUCUCAGAAAUAAAGGUGGCAAAAUAUACUUUUCAUUUUGGCAGGGUACCAUCAUGGGUAUAUCUUUUUUGUUCCUUUAAUUUUGUUCCUUUUGCCUGGGAAUGUCUAUGUGGUGUACCUUUCCUUUGCUUCUAAACUAAACUUUAAGUGGUCCUUAAGCUUGAUACAUUUAAAGAUUUACUGUAUUCAUGUUUUCAGGCUUAACCUGAAACUUGUAACCUUUAAAAAACAACAACAACAAUGUGUGUAUUUGUUGAUUUGGUGAUUUUUUUUUUUUUUUUUUUUGGAAGAGACGAUUAUUUAGCAUAUAUGGAAGGAGCCUCCAGUGUCAGCACUUUGUAACAGACAGCUGCAAGUGUUGCAGAUGGAAGCUGGUUCUUUGUAACAUGACAACGGAACAGACCAUCUGUUUAAAAUGUUUGAAAUACCCGAGGGGAGGAUUUUGUUCCUAAACUUUCACUUGGGAGAAGAAGACUUCUG
This is a long non-coding RNA of Ictalurus punctatus (channel catfish), 558 nucleotides long. Lineage: Eukaryota; Metazoa; Chordata; Actinopteri; Siluriformes; Ictaluridae. The record is from Ensembl.